This is a long non-coding RNA of Zingiber officinale, 807 nucleotides long. RefSeq lists it as uncharacterized. The transcript is spliced from 3 exons. The record is from RefSeq and is a predicted model, not a curated record. Lineage: Eukaryota; Viridiplantae; Streptophyta; Magnoliopsida; Zingiberales; Zingiberaceae.
UUCCUCUUCCCCGAUAUCUUCUUCCCCCUCGCGACCUUCUCCUCUGCCCAAACCGCCGCGCUGCGGUUUCUUCUUCUUCUUUUCAUUUUCUUCAUCCCGAGCCGCACACCCGAAGCUUUCUCCUCUUCUUCUCUCCUCUGCCACCACCACAGCGACGCCGUGCCCUAAUUGGGUUGUGCCGCCGCUGAGAUUUGCUUCGCCGCCACCGACCUAGUGCAGCCGCCGGCGACGCAAGGAGCAGUGCCUCACACCCUGGUGCCCUAGCAUCUUCGCCGACGCCACUGCCUCCUCUCGGCUGCUUCCUUGUGCCGGCCACCGUUUUCCUCUGCUGGCGCCGAUCCCCAAACGCUUCUGCCCUAGCCGAGACCUAGGUGCUGAGUUCUUCCUUGACGUGCCACUGUUGAGUCCUCUUCCCGCACGAGGCCAGCACAGUGACGCCAGCCGACCACCGGCCACAACUCACAGUGCCGACCUUUUCUUCUGUGCUCAGCCGCGACACUCAUCUCACGGCGUCACCCCGCAGUACACUGCCGAGCCUUCUGCCGAGCCUUGGGGAGGAAGGGAUUUAGCAUAGAAUUGGGUAUGCAUGGUUGAGAUCAGUGAGGGAAGAAUCCAGCAGAGAGGAGAUUCUAUUCCAUUCUGUUGAGAUCUGUGGAUUUGCUUGGUUCCAGCAUCAACAGUAGGUUGUUUGCUGCGGAAAGUAGCUGUGGUCGAUCACCACUUCCUCCUUCUUGAUCCGGUUGAAUUGAGGACUUUGACGCGAGACGAGUAUCUCGGAGUCAGAUUGGACCUUUCUAUUUUCGGAGG